GACGAACGCUGGCGGCGUGCUUAACACAUGCACGUCGAACGGAAAGGCCCUGCUUUUGUGGGGUGCUCGAGUGGCGAACGGGUGAGUAACACGUGAGUAACCUGCCCUUGACUUUGGGAUAACUUCAGGAAACUGGGGCUAAUACCGGAUAGGAGCUCCUGCUGCAUUGUGGGGGUUGGACAGUUUCGGCGGUUGGGGAUGGACUCGCGGCUUAUCAGCUUGUUGGUGGGGUAGUGGCUUACCAAGGCUUUGACGGGUAGCCGGCCUGAGAGGGUGACCGGCCACAUUGGGACUGAGAUACGGCCCAGACUCCUACGGGAGGCAGCAGUGGGGAAUAUUGCACAAUGGGCGGAAGCCUGAUGGAGCAACGCCGCGUGCGGGAUGACGGCCUUCGGGUUGUAAACCGCUUUCGCCUGUGACGAAGCGUGAGUGACGGUAAUGGGUAAAGAAGCACCGGCUAACUACGUG
RNAcentral lists this ribosomal RNA (468 nucleotides) under uncultured bacterium. RNAcentral's name for it is "partial 16S ribosomal RNA". It matches the Rfam family "Bacterial small subunit ribosomal RNA", at positions 28 to 507 of the family's 1533-position model. The record is from RNAcentral.